UGUUCUAUGUGAAGCAGAUAGUAUUUUCGGGCUAUUCCAUAUGUAAAUUUGGAUGAUUUGACUUGUAUUCCUUAUCUUUGUAAAGAUUAAAUGCUUUUUGAAUAUUACUAGUAUUAGAUGAAUGAACAAAUAACUUGUGUUCCUUAUGUUCAGCUUUUUGUAAAGAUUGAAUGCUUUUUUAAUGUCAAUGAUGUUGGGACAAGAUU
RNAcentral lists this long non-coding RNA (206 nucleotides) under Phoenix dactylifera (date palm). RNAcentral describes it as "long non-coding RNA (PDAC_LNC009619)". Lineage: Eukaryota; Viridiplantae; Streptophyta; Magnoliopsida; Arecales; Arecaceae. The record is from RNAcentral.